Molecule: ribosomal RNA, 433 nt
Filed under: uncultured bacterium
Lineage: Bacteria
Description: partial 16S ribosomal RNA
Rfam family: Bacterial small subunit ribosomal RNA
Source: RNAcentral
AACGAACGCUGGCGGCAGGCCUAACACAUGCAAGUCGAGCGAGGACUUCGGUUCUAGCGGCGGACGGGUGAGUACCGCGUGGGAAUGUGCCCUUCUCUACGGAAUAGCCCUGGGAAACUGGGAGUAAUACCGUAUACGCCCUAUUGGGGAAAGAUUUAUCGGUGAAGGAUCAGCCCGCGUUGGAUUAGGUAGUUGGUGGGGUAAUGGCCUACCAAGCCGUCGAUCCAUAGCUGGUUUGAGAGGAUGAUCAGCCACACUGGGACUGAGACACGGCCCAGACUCCUACGGGAGGCAGCAGUGGGGAAUCUUAGACAAUGGGGGCAACCCUGGUCUAGCCAUGCCGCGUGAGUGAUGCAGGCCUUAGGGUUGUAAAGCUCUUUCAGCUGGGAAGAUAAUGACGGUACCAGCAGAAGAAGCCCCGGCUAACUCCGUG